UUGAGAGAGGUCAGCGUGAGCCCCUUGCCUCACACCGGCCCCUCCCACGCUGAGAGAGGUCAGCCCGAGCCCCUUGCCUCACACCGGCCCCUCCCACGCUGAGAGAGGUGUGAGCCCCUUGUCUCACACCGGCCCCUCCCACGCGGACAGAGGUCAGCGUGAGCCCCUUGCCUCACACCGGCCCCUCCCACGCUGAGAGAGGUCAGUGUGAGCCCUUGCCUCACACCGGCCCCUCCCACGCGGACAGAGGUCAGCGUGAGCCCCUUGCCUCACACCGGCCCCUCCCACGCUGAGAGAGGUCGGUGUGAGCCCUUGCCUCACACCGGCCCCUCCCACGCGGACAGAGGUCAGCGUGAGCCCCUUGCCUCACCCCGGCCCCUCCCACGCUGAGAGAGGUCAGUGUGAGCCCUUGCCUCACACCGGCCCCUCCCACGCGGACAGAGGUCAGCGUGAGCCCCUUGCCUCACCCCGGCCCCUCCCACGCUGAGAGAGGUCAGUGUGAGCCCUUGCCUCACACCGGCCCCUCCCACGCGGACAGAGGUC
RNAcentral lists this long non-coding RNA (543 nucleotides) under Homo sapiens (human). RNAcentral's name for it is "HSALNT0317681". Lineage: Eukaryota; Metazoa; Chordata; Mammalia; Primates; Hominidae. The record is from RNAcentral.